Molecule: ribosomal RNA, 253 nt
Filed under: uncultured bacterium
Lineage: Bacteria
Description: partial 16S ribosomal RNA
Rfam family: Bacterial small subunit ribosomal RNA
Source: RNAcentral
UACGUAGAAUGCAAGCGUUGUCCGGAAUUAUUGGGCGUAAAGAGCUCGUAGGCGGUCUGUCGCGUCGGAUGUGAAAACUCGGGGCUCAACUCCGAGCCUGCAGUCGAUACGGGCAGACUAGAGUGCUGUAGGGGAGACUGGAAUUCCUGGUGUAGCGGUGAAAUGCGCAGAUAUCAGGAGGAACACCGGUGGCGAAGGCGGGUCUCUGGGCAACAACUGACGCUGAGGAGCGAAAGCGUGGGGAGCGAACAGG